CCAAAUCCAAUUCCUAUGUCUGAGAGCGCUGUCCAAAUGCUCCCUGAGCUCCGGCACUCGGGGCCGUGCCCACUGCCCUGGGCAGGCUGUUCCAUGCCCACUGCCCUCUGGUGCAGACCCUUUCCCUCACCCCCAGCUGCCCCUCCCCUGACCUGAACCCCUUAGGUUCUAUUCUAAUCUCUCAUCAAAGAUUUGGAGAACAUUUUGAAGGGAUAUUGCAAUUUUUGAUCCAGCAUGUGUGCAUCUUUUGUGAAUAUUCUGUCAGAAGGCCAUGACAAAUGCUAAUACAUGUCUGCAGAAGCCACGUGAAGUCUCUGCAUUUACCUUGGCACCACAGAUACUGAGAGGAGCUGCUGGAAGGAACGGGGCUCUGCCCACGCCGCAGCGUUCGAAGCUUUUGCUAAUGGCUGAGGCACUCUUAGAUGUGAAGAGAGAAAGCCUGAGAUCUCCAGUCCUGAAUCUGGUGAAAAAGGUGUAACUGCCAUAUCACAGCACGGAACGCUGAGUACAUUAUUCUUUCCAACAGCAGGAUUUGAAGUCAACUUUGUAGGAGGAAAGAGAUGGGUUUCGUAUUUGCUGCCCAAUAGUCCAUACGCUUUCCAGUGGUAUCACAGAAUCACAGAAUAUUCUGAGCUGGAAGGGAGCCAUAUGAAUCAUCAAGUCCAAGUCUUGGCUCCACGUGGGACCACCCAAAAUUCAAACCCUACCUCUGAGAACACUGUCCAAAUGCUCCUUGAACUUUGGCAGCUCAAGGCCACAACCUCUGCUAUGUGGAGCCUAUUCCAGGGCCCAUUUUACUGCACUGGCUGCAGAUGAACAUGGGAUAGCUUGCAGAG
Molecule: long non-coding RNA, 836 nt
Filed under: Gallus gallus (chicken)
Lineage: Eukaryota; Metazoa; Chordata; Aves; Galliformes; Phasianidae
Description: lncRNA (ENSGALG00010007228.1)
Source: RNAcentral